RNAcentral lists this ribosomal RNA (997 nucleotides) under Ambrosiella hartigii. Its description in RNAcentral is "SSU rRNA". It matches the Rfam family "Eukaryotic small subunit ribosomal RNA", at positions 94 to 1102 of the family's 1831-position model. The record is from RNAcentral. Lineage: Eukaryota; Fungi; Ascomycota; Sordariomycetes; Microascales; Ceratocystidaceae.
UGGCUCAUUAUAUAAGUUAUCGUUUAUUUGAUAGCACCUUACUACUUGGAUAACCGUGGUAAUUCUAGAGCUAAUACAUGCUAAAAAUCCCGACUUCGGAAGGGAUGUAUUUAUUAGAUUAAAAACCAAUGCCUUUUGGCUUUUUGGUGAUUCAUGAUAACUUCUCGAAUCGCAUGGCCUUGCGCCGGCGAUGGUUCAUUCAAAUUUCUUCCCUAUCAACUUUCGAUGCGAAGGUCUUGUCUUCGCAUGGUUACAACGGGUAACGGAGGGUUAGGGCUCGACCCCGGAGAGGGAGCCUGAGAAAUGGCUACCACUUUUAAGGAAGGCAGCAGGCGCGCAAAUUACCCAAUCCCGACACGGGGAGGUAGUGACAAUAAAUACUGAUACAGGGCUCUUAUGGGUCUUGUAAUCGGAAUGAGUACAAUUUAAAUCCCUUAACGAGGAACAAUUGGAGGGCAAGUCUGGUGCCAGCAGCCGCGGUAAUUCCAGCUCCAAUAGCGUAUAUUAAAGUUGUUGUGGUUAAAAAGCUCGUAGUUGAACCUUGGGCCUGGCUGGCCGGUCCCCCUCACCGGGUGCACUGGUCCGGCCGGGUCUUUCCCUCUAUGGAACCUCAUGCUCUUUACUGAGUGUGACGGGGAAAUAGGACUUUUACUUUGAAAAAAUUAGAGUGCUCCAGGCAGGCCUAUGCUCGAAUAGUACAGCAUGGAAUAAUAGAAUAGGACGUGUGGUUCUAUUUUGUUGGUUUCUAGGACCGCCGUAAUGAUUAAUAGGGACAGUCGGGGGCAUCAGUAUUCAGCUGUCAGAGGUGAAAUUCUUGGAUCUGCUGAAGACUAACUACUGCGAAAGCAUUUGCCAAGGAUGUUUUCAUUGAUAAGGAACGAAAGUUAGGGGAUCGAAGACGAUCAGAUACCGUCGUAGUCUUAACCAUAAACUAUGCCGACUAGGGAUCGGACGAUGUUAUUUUUUUGACUCGUUCGGCACCUUUCGAGAAAUCAAA